This 403-nucleotide ribosomal RNA is filed under the name uncultured bacterium. Its description in RNAcentral is "bacterial SSU rRNA". It matches the Rfam family "Bacterial small subunit ribosomal RNA", at positions 355 to 776 of the family's 1533-position model. RNAcentral also lists the same sequence under 3 other names. The record is from RNAcentral.
UGGGGAAUAUUGCACAAUGGGCGAAAGCCUGAUGCAGCAACGCCGCGUGAGCGAUGAAGGCUUUCGAGUCGUAAAGCUCUGUCCUAAGGGAAGAUAAUGACGGUACCUUAGGAGGAAGCCCCGGCUAACUACGUGCCAGCAGCCGCGGUAAUACGUAGGGGGCAAGCGUUAUCCGGAAUCAUUGGGCGUAAAGGGUGCGUAGGCGGCCCUAUAGGUCAGAGGUCAAAGGCUACGGCUCAACCGUAGUAAGCCUUUGAAACUGUAGGGCUUGAGUGCAGGAGAGGAGAGUGGAAUUCCUAGUGUAGCGGUGAAAUGCGUAGAUAUUAGGAGGAACACCAGUGGCGAAGGCGACUCUCUGGACUGCAACUGACGCUGAGGCACGAAAGCGUGGGGAGCGAACAGG